AACGAACGCUGGCGGCGCGCUUAACACAUGCAAGUCGAACGAGAAGGCGUAGCAAUACGCUUGUACAGUGGCGAACGGGUGAGUAAUACGUGGGCGACCUACCCUCGAGUGGGGAAUAACCCGCCGAAAGGCGGGCUAAUGCCGCGUACGCUUCCAUCUUUAUGGAGGUGGAAGGAAAGCCGUGCCGUGGGCACGGCGCUCAAGGAUGGGCUCACGUCCUAUCAGCUUGUUGGAGGGUAGCGGCCUACCAAGGCUCCGACGGGUAGCUGGUCUGAGAGGACGAUCAGCCACACUGACACUGCGACACGGGCCAGACUCCUACGGGAGGCAGCAGUGAGGAAUAUUGCGCAAUGGGCGAAAGCCUGACGCAGCGACGCCGCGUGGGGGA
This 388-nucleotide ribosomal RNA is filed under the name uncultured bacterium. RNAcentral's name for it is "bacterial SSU rRNA". It matches the Rfam family "Bacterial small subunit ribosomal RNA", at positions 29 to 408 of the family's 1533-position model. The record is from RNAcentral.